UACGAAGGGGGCUAGCGUUGCUCGGAAUCACUGGGCGUAAAGCGCACGUAGGCGGAUUGCUAAGUCAGGGGUGAAAUCCUGGAGCUCAACUCCGGAACUGCCUUUGAUACUGGCGAUCUUGAGUCCGGGAGAGGUGAGUGGAACUGCGAGUGUAGAGGUGAAAUUCGUAGAUAUUCGCAAGAACACCAGUGGCGAAGGCGGCUCACUGGCCCGGUACUGACGCUGAGGUGCGAAAGCGUGGGGAGCAAACAGG
This 253-nucleotide ribosomal RNA is filed under the name uncultured bacterium. RNAcentral describes it as "partial 16S ribosomal RNA". It matches the Rfam family "Bacterial small subunit ribosomal RNA", at positions 524 to 776 of the family's 1533-position model. The record is from RNAcentral.